Molecule: non-coding RNA, 437 nt
Organism: Paramuricea clavata
Lineage: Eukaryota; Metazoa; Cnidaria; Anthozoa; Malacalcyonacea; Plexauridae
Source: the annotation of a GenBank genome assembly
AGGAUGUGUUCGCACUGCUUGUUCCCAGUUGUUGUGACAAGUCUGGAACAAGUUGUUAUCAUCUUGUUACAAGGUUGAUGACGGUAACAGACUUGCUACAAGUUGUUCCAACAAGACUAAUACAGGCUGUUCGUAACAAGUUGCCACGAGCUUGUUGUCAUCAACUUGUUAACAACUUGUUACGUGCAGACGAUAUCAGACUUGUUGGAACAACUUGUUGCGAGUCUGUUGGCCUAAUCAACCUUGUUACAAGAUGAUAACAACUUUUCCAGACUUGUCAACAACUGGGAACAAGCAGUGCGAACACAUCUUGUUGACAAGCUGUCAGAUUUUACGCGUGAACUAUUACUACAAUUCAUUGUUUACUUUGGAAACAGGUAGUCGAUAGACGCUAUGUUGUUUUUGACUGGUUUUACGUUUAUUUGAUUCAAAUGGAC